This 59-nucleotide transfer RNA is filed under the name Oesophagostomum columbianum. Its description in RNAcentral is "tRNA-Met". Lineage: Eukaryota; Metazoa; Nematoda; Chromadorea; Rhabditida; Strongylidae. The record is from RNAcentral.
AAUAAGGUAGGAUAAUUUAGUCUGUCAGGUUCAUACCCUGAAUGUGUUUUCUCUUAUUA